This 328-nucleotide ribosomal RNA is filed under the name uncultured eukaryote. RNAcentral's name for it is "partial 18S ribosomal RNA". It matches the Rfam family "Eukaryotic small subunit ribosomal RNA", at positions 1470 to 1796 of the family's 1831-position model. The record is from RNAcentral.
UCCUUAGAUGUCCUGGGCCGCACGCGCGUUACACUGAUGCAUUCAACGAGCUUAUAACCUUGGCCGAGAGGCCUGGGCAAUCUUGUUAACGUGCAUCGUGAUAGGGAUAGAUUAUUGAAAUUAUUAAUCUUGAACGAGGAAUUCCUAGUAAACGCAGAUCAUCAAUCUGCAUUGAUUACGUCCCUGCCCUUUGUACACACCGCCCAUCGCACCUACCGAUUGGAUGGUCCGGUGAAGCCUCGGGAUUGUGGUUCUUGCCGCUUUAUUGUGGCGUGACCGCGAGAACUUGUCUAAACCUUAUCAUCUAGAGGAAGGUGAAGUCGUAACA